Molecule: ribosomal RNA, 509 nt
Filed under: uncultured bacterium
Lineage: Bacteria
Description: bacterial SSU rRNA
Rfam family: Bacterial small subunit ribosomal RNA
Source: RNAcentral
GAGUUUGAUCCUGGCUCAGAUUGAACGCUGGCGGCAGACCUAACACAUGCAAGUCGAGCGGUAGAGAGAAGCUUGCUUCUCUUGAGAGCGGCGGACGGGUGAGUAAUGCCUAGGAAUCUGCCUGGUAGUGGGGGAUAACGCUCGGAAACGGACGCUAAUACCGCAUACGUCCUACGGGAGAAAGCAGGGGACCUUCGGGCCUUGCGCUAUCAGAUGAGCCUAGGUCGGAUUAGCUAGUUGGUGAGGUAAUGGCUCACCAAGGCGACGAUCCGUAACUGGUCUGAGAGGAUGAUCAGUCACACUGGAACUGAGACACGGUCCAGACUCCUACGGGAGGCAGCAGUGGGGAAUAUUGGACAAUGGGCGAAAGCCUGAUCCAGCCAUGCCGCGUGUGUGAAGAAGGUCUUCGGAUUGUAAAGCACUUUAAGUUGGGAGGAGGGGCAGUAAAUUAAUACUUUGCUGUUUGACGUUACCGACAGAAUAAGCACCGGCUAACUCUGUGCCAGCAC